RNAcentral lists this ribosomal RNA (253 nucleotides) under uncultured bacterium. Its description in RNAcentral is "partial 16S ribosomal RNA". It matches the Rfam family "Bacterial small subunit ribosomal RNA", at positions 524 to 776 of the family's 1533-position model. The record is from RNAcentral.
UACGUAGGGGGCGAGCGUUGUCCGGAGUUACUGGGCGUAAAGGGCGCGCAGGCGGUCUGGUAAGUUUGGAGUGACAGUGCUCGGCUUGACUGAGCAAGGCCUUCGAAAACUGCUAGACUUGAGCACUCAAGAGGGACAUAGAAUUCCGGGUGGAGUGGUGAAAUGCGUAGAUAUCCGGAGGAAUACCAAAGGCGAAGGCAGUGUCCUGGGGAGUGUCUGACGCUCAGGCGCGAAAGCUAGGGGAGCGAACAGG